This 253-nucleotide ribosomal RNA is filed under the name uncultured bacterium. RNAcentral's name for it is "partial 16S ribosomal RNA". It matches the Rfam family "Bacterial small subunit ribosomal RNA", at positions 524 to 776 of the family's 1533-position model. The record is from RNAcentral.
UACGAGUGCCCCAAGCGUUAUCCGGAAUCAUUGGGCGUAAAGGGUGUGUAGGUGGCGAUACUAGUCUUCUGUUAAAACCUCGGGCUUAACCCGAGAUCUGCAGGGGAAACGGUAUCGCUCGAGGAUGCGAGGGGUCAGUGGAACUCAUGGAGUAGGGGUGAAAUCCGUUGAUAUCAUGGGGAACACCAAAAGCGAAGGCAACUGACUGGCGCAUUCCUGACACUGAAACACGAAAGCGUGGGUAGCGAACUGG